Molecule: ribosomal RNA, 2904 nt
Filed under: Escherichia coli KTE154
Lineage: Bacteria; Pseudomonadati; Pseudomonadota; Gammaproteobacteria; Enterobacterales; Enterobacteriaceae
Description: bacterial LSU rRNA
Rfam family: Bacterial large subunit ribosomal RNA
Source: RNAcentral
UUAAGCGACUAAGCGUACACGGUGGAUGCCCUGGCAGUCAGAGGCGAUGAAGGACGUGCUAAUCUGCGAUAAGCGUCGGUAAGGUGAUAUGAACCGUUAUAACCGGCGAUUUCCGAAUGGGGAAACCCAGUGUGUUUCGACACACUAUCAUUAACUGAAUCCAUAGGUUAAUGAGGCGAACCGGGGGAACUGAAACAUCUAAGUACCCCGAGGAAAAGAAAUCAACCGAGAUUCCCCCAGUAGCGGCGAGCGAACGGGGAGGAGCCCAGAGCCUGAAUCAGUGUGUGUGUUAGUGGAAGCGUCUGGAAAGGCGCGCGAUACAGGGUGACAGCCCCGUACACAAAAAUGCACAUGCUGUGAGCUCGAUGAGUAGGGCGGGACACGUGGUAUCCUGUCUGAAUAUGGGGGGACCAUCCUCCAAGGCUAAAUACUCCUGACUGACCGAUAGUGAACCAGUACCGUGAGGGAAAGGCGAAAAGAACCCCGGCGAGGGGAGUGAAAAAGAACCUGAAACCGUGUACGUACAAGCAGUGGGAGCACGCUUCGGCGUGUGACUGCGUACCUUUUGUAUAAUGGGUCAGCGACUUAUAUUCUGUAGCAAGGUUAACCGAAUAGGGGAGCCGAAGGGAAACCGAGUCUUAACUGGGCGUUAAGUUGCAGGGUAUAGACCCGAAACCCGGUGAUCUAGCCAUGGGCAGGUUGAAGGUUGGGUAACACUAACUGGAGGACCGAACCGACUAAUGUUGAAAAAUUAGCGGAUGACUUGUGGCUGGGGGUGAAAGGCCAAUCAAACCGGGAGAUAGCUGGUUCUCCCCGAAAGCUAUUUAGGUAGCGCCUCGUGAAUUCAUCUCCGGGGGUAGAGCACUGUUUCGGCAAGGGGGUCAUCCCGACUUACCAACCCGAUGCAAACUGCGAAUACCGGAGAAUGUUAUCACGGGAGACACACGGCGGGUGCUAACGUCCGUCGUGAAGAGGGAAACAACCCAGACCGCCAGCUAAGGUCCCAAAGUCAUGGUUAAGUGGGAAACGAUGUGGGAAGGCCCAGACAGCCAGGAUGUUGGCUUAGAAGCAGCCAUCAUUUAAAGAAAGCGUAAUAGCUCACUGGUCGAGUCGGCCUGCGCGGAAGAUGUAACGGGGCUAAACCAUGCACCGAAGCUGCGGCAGCGACGCUUAUGCGUUGUUGGGUAGGGGAGCGUUCUGUAAGCCUGUGAAGGUGUGCUGUGAGGCAUGCUGGAGGUAUCAGAAGUGCGAAUGCUGACAUAAGUAACGAUAAAGCGGGUGAAAAGCCCGCUCGCCGGAAGACCAAGGGUUCCUGUCCAACGUUAAUCGGGGCAGGGUGAGUCGACCCCUAAGGCGAGGCCGAAAGGCGUAGUCGAUGGGAAACAGGUUAAUAUUCCUGUACUUGGUGUUACUGCGAAGGGGGGACGGAGAAGGCUAUGUUGGCCGGGCGACGGUUGUCCCGGUUUAAGCGUGUAGGCUGGUUUUCCAGGCAAAUCCGGAAAAUCAAGGCUGAGGCGUGAUGACGAGGCACUACGGUGCUGAAGCAACAAAUGCCCUGCUUCCAGGAAAAGCCUCUAAGCAUCAGGUAACAUCAAAUCGUACCCCAAACCGACACAGGUGGUCAGGUAGAGAAUACCAAGGCGCUUGAGAGAACUCGGGUGAAGGAACUAGGCAAAAUGGUGCCGUAACUUCGGGAGAAGGCACGCUGAUAUGUAGGUGAGGUCCCUCGCGGAUGGAGCUGAAAUCAGUCGAAGAUACCAGCUGGCUGCAACUGUUUAUUAAAAACACAGCACUGUGCAAACACGAAAGUGGACGUAUACGGUGUGACGCCUGCCCGGUGCCGGAAGGUUAAUUGAUGGGGUUAGCGGUAACGCGAAGCUCUUGAUCGAAGCCCCGGUAAACGGCGGCCGUAACUAUAACGGUCCUAAGGUAGCGAAAUUCCUUGUCGGGUAAGUUCCGACCUGCACGAAUGGCGUAAUGAUGGCCAGGCUGUCUCCACCCGAGACUCAGUGAAAUUGAACUCGCUGUGAAGAUGCAGUGUACCCGCGGCAAGACGGAAAGACCCCGUGAACCUUUACUAUAGCUUGACACUGAACAUUGAGCCUUGAUGUGUAGGAUAGGUGGGAGGCUUAGAAGUGUGGACGCCAGUCUGCAUGGAGCCGACCUUGAAAUACCACCCUUUAAUGUUUGAUGUUCUAACGUUGACCCGUAAUCCGGGUUGCGGACAGUGUCUGGUGGGUAGUUUGACUGGGGCGGUCUCCUCCUAAAGAGUAACGGAGGAGCACGAAGGUUGGCUAAUCCUGGUCGGACAUCAGGAGGUUAGUGCAAUGGCAUAAGCCAGCUUGACUGCGAGCGUGACGGCGCGAGCAGGUGCGAAAGCAGGUCAUAGUGAUCCGGUGGUUCUGAAUGGAAGGGCCAUCGCUCAACGGAUAAAAGGUACUCCGGGGAUAACAGGCUGAUACCGCCCAAGAGUUCAUAUCGACGGCGGUGUUUGGCACCUCGAUGUCGGCUCAUCACAUCCUGGGGCUGAAGUAGGUCCCAAGGGUAUGGCUGUUCGCCAUUUAAAGUGGUACGCGAGCUGGGUUUAGAACGUCGUGAGACAGUUCGGUCCCUAUCUGCCGUGGGCGCUGGAGAACUGAGGGGGGCUGCUCCUAGUACGAGAGGACCGGAGUGGACGCAUCACUGGUGUUCGGGUUGUCAUGCCAAUGGCACUGCCCGGUAGCUAAAUGCGGAAGAGAUAAGUGCUGAAAGCAUCUAAGCACGAAACUUGCCCCGAGAUGAGUUCUCCCUGACUCCUUGAGAGUCCUGAAGGAACGUUGAAGACGACGACGUUGAUAGGCCGGGUGUGUAAGCGCAGCGAUGCGUUGAGCUAACCGGUACUAAUGAACCGUGAGGCUUAACCUU